AUGAUUGUUAUUAUUACUAAUCAUAACCCUUUAUUUCAUUGACCAUCAUAGACGGUAAUUAUUAUGAAAUUAACCAUUUGGAUCCAACAUGUGGAUUAACUACGGGAAGCAAUCAUCCGCAUCCAAGGCAAUAAAAUGUUUUUAGAUGGACAAUGUAUCAAUUUACAUGUACAAUGUAUAACAAAUAUCAUUAUUAUCAUACAUCAUUAUUAUUACAUUAAGUUGAUAGUUUCAAGAAACACUUGAAGACUCAUUUCUUCAGAGACUAUUUUAAUCUUUUUAAGUCAAAGUCAGUAAAGUGUAGAAACUAAGAGACAAUGUUUUUCUGCGCAUUAACUCUGUGAUGAAUAUCUGAUUUUACAAUGUAUUUAUUAUCCAAGUAACAUUUGCAUGUCUUUUACCAUGUCCUUUAAUAAUAUAGCCAUAUUUUUAAUUAUUUUAAAUACCAUUACUUUCUUUUAUUUGUGAUACCAUGUUUUAGAUUUAGAUUUAGAAUUAAUUGUUUUAUUAUUCUUAAACUACAUUUAUUUAUUACUUUUAAUGAUCUGAUGUGAUAUUGUACAACGCCAUUGAAUAUGUAUUAUAUGUAGAAAUAGGCGUUUAAGCAAAUAAAACAGUUUCAGUUUCAGUUUAUUAUCAGGGCUGGUGACACGUUGUCGGCACAUUUAGAAAAGCUGCCGGAGUUUCUCCUUCAUGACGCCGUGUAUGCCGCUGCCGCCGCGCGCAGUAAUAGUAUUGUAGAAUUUACAAGUUGUGAGAGCGUCCAUGUACAACUAGCAUCAGGGACUGAUUACGCCUUAGGAUAUUUUGUGUUUAUUGAGCUCCAGGACGCCGGCAAAUUAAACGAUCAGGAAAUUGAGUUGGUUGAUGCUGAGAUUUGUGCCAGACAUACAGUGUACGAUGCCAUGCGAAGAAACAACAAACUUAAACCAAUUAAAAUUGUUCACCUAAGGACAGGUGCUUUUCGUGAAAUAAAAAAGUUGAUGCUGUCAUCAAACCCAGAUGCAUUUUACAUGCAGUAUAAGUUGCCAAGAAUCAUGAGAAGGGUCGACAUUUUGAAGGCCAUGCUGGACAUGAAAGUAUAAAUGAAACAUUCGAAAUCAUUGAAAAACUGUUAUCAAUUUUGUAAUUUUAC
Ruditapes philippinarum (Manila clam) is the source of this 1135-nucleotide long non-coding RNA. RefSeq lists it as uncharacterized. The record is from RefSeq and is a predicted model, not a curated record. The transcript is spliced from 3 exons. NCBI's taxonomy places the organism in Eukaryota, Metazoa, Mollusca, Bivalvia, Venerida, Veneridae.